RNAcentral lists this small RNA (432 nucleotides) under Pongo abelii (Sumatran orangutan). RNAcentral's name for it is "processed transcript". The record is from RNAcentral. Lineage: Eukaryota; Metazoa; Chordata; Mammalia; Primates; Hominidae.
GCACCCACAAGGCGCUGCGCAGUUUUGUUCAGCACCAGCCGUUCGAAGGUGAUCCAGGCUCUUUAAUUUCUCCAUUGAGCAUUGUGUGAGCUCCACUGAGCAUUGUAUGGAGGGUCAGCUGCCCUGGCUGGAGAUGGUUUUGAGGCUUGUUCCUUCGUGGAAACAUCUGGAUGCAGAAGUUAGGCUGGACAACUAUCCAGGGGAGCUUUAAGUGAGCCAAGUGGACCCUCAGCACCACCUCAGAGUGUUCCAAGCUACCGUCUGGUGUUUGGAACUCAGGGAAGUCCAUUUGGUAUGAUCAGACUAGCCCUUUAUGUGACUGUCCUUGUGUGUUACUCUCAUUAAAAUGUUGAUUUUUGCCAUGUAAGGAAGAUUGGAAUAGCACAGGCAGCCAAAUAAGGAUUUUAAUGAAACAUUGGAGAAUGGCUUCAA